RNAcentral lists this long non-coding RNA (1246 nucleotides) under Pogona vitticeps (central bearded dragon). Its description in RNAcentral is "lncRNA (ENSPVIG00000021718.1)". The record is from RNAcentral. Lineage: Eukaryota; Metazoa; Chordata; Lepidosauria; Squamata; Agamidae.
AACUCUGUGACAACCUGCAGCUGCUACAAAGGAGAGGAUCUGAGGGGCUCUAAUCAUGCCACGCAAUGGAUGUGGAAGUGUCUCAUUAACUCAGCUCUCAGGACUAGAUUAAACCGACAGCUGUGGGGCUGUUCGAGAAGGGUGCCGACAGAAGGGGGUCUGACGUGGGUGCUUCACCUGUUGAACAUGACGACCGGGAAAGGAAAUCAACUGUUUCUGCUCUGACAAUGGCAUAGAAGAAAACCCAGAUGGAGUUGUUGUCCGGUGAAUGCUGGAAAACAUUUUUAAAAAAUGUUAAGAAUAUAUGAGAGACAUCACAAAAAAGGGGAUUAUUUGUCCACUCCAACUAGAAGCAGAUCUUGAAGGGUGCCAACAAAAGUCUUCCCUCUGUUCAGCUCAUCCCCUGCGAUCUGACCCUGAGAUGCCAGGAAAGAAUUUCCAGAUCAAAAGAAACAGGAAUAUCUAUUCCAGCUUUCAUAUUUGGUUAUCGACCCUCACUGGAUAACAGGAAGUCUUCAAAACCAGAUCCAGCCUCAAGUUAAAGCAGAAGAAGAAUCAUCUUCCAGAGCAGUGCAGACAAGUAUCUAUUUCAGUGUCACACAAAUGCUUUAAUAUUGCUCCUAGAUCCAGUUUCCUGAAAUAUAUAUACCUCUCCCAGCCCUUUCAGUAUCGGACGUCAUAGGGAACAGAAAAAGGAAUGACAACAGCUUGCAUAUUUAUGGACAACACAAGAAGAUGAUACUGUUACAAUGGCAGGACAAAUCAAAGCGAUAACUAUAAAGUGCAGAGCUUUGGGGGAAGUAGGGGGGACCCCAAACCUUUUACAGAAGAACCUGAGAUAUGGACGAGAACCUUCAUUACAGAUGGCAAUAAAGAUGGAAGGCUUGAAAUGAGCUGCAAAAAGACUUCAGAGUCGGUGCCAGGGACACCGAGGCAGAAAAUGACAGACCAUGUUUCCUCUUACCACUCUCUUCUGUUACACCACCAUCUGUCUCUGUGUCCUAAGGUCAAUUAAACUUUUGUUCGGUGAAAUUGCUCUGGAGCCAAGACUCCAGGAACAUGAGGUAUUGAUUGUGAACCUCGCACAUGGACCACAAGAUCUUUUCAGCCUAACACGCAGGCAGAAACAGGAAGAGAAACACUUCAACUUUCGCAGAGCGCUUGGCCGGCUCUUAAACCCACUUGGGACAUGGCGGUGCUUCCAUGGAAACCAAAUCAUGAAAUCUCCCCCUGGAAACACAGCCCA